GGUAUGUUGCUAUUAUACUUUUUUGGCUUGGCAGAACUCUAGGUUAGGAUUUCUGCUUUUACCUUGCAAUUUUCCUAGGCACUAUUGCAGUAUAUAACAGCGAGACUAAUUUUCUGCAUAUAUAUCUUAUAGGAUUUUUAUUUUUAGUUUUAGCAAUUUCAGUGAGAGAUGGUGAUGAUUUAAAGCAUUGUUCUAUGUAGAAUCUGAAAUAUAUUAA
RNAcentral lists this unclassified non-coding RNA (217 nucleotides) under Hevea brasiliensis (rubber tree). Lineage: Eukaryota; Viridiplantae; Streptophyta; Magnoliopsida; Malpighiales; Euphorbiaceae. The record is from RNAcentral.